RNAcentral lists this non-coding RNA (45 nucleotides) under Schistosoma bovis. The record is from RNAcentral. Lineage: Eukaryota; Metazoa; Platyhelminthes; Trematoda; Strigeidida; Schistosomatidae. RNAcentral also lists the same sequence under 1 other name.
AUCUAGCUGAUGAGUCCUAAAUAGGACGAAACGUGUCCCAUGGAU